CGCCCCUUGCAAAAAAAUUGAUGAAUAAGGGGUCCUGCCUGCCCAGUGACUUAGUUAAACGGCCGCGGUAUCUUGACCGUGCAAAGGUAGCAUAAUCAUUUGCCUCUUAAAUAGAGGCUGGUAUGAAUGGCAAGACUGGGGUUAAGCUGUCUCUUUCUCAGUACUUGAAUUUUAUAUUUUUGUGAAGAAGCAGAAAUAAAUUCGUAGGACGAGAAGACCCUAUCGAGCUUUAGUAAAAUUAUUAGUAGUGUGUAAGUAUAGAGUAUCUAAUAAAGCAAUGUAUUUGCAAGAAGAAUCUAAUGCUUUUUAUUUAACUAUAUAAUAAAAUAAUUUUGAUUGGGGCAAUCGCGGAGUAUAAAAAUCCUCCGCUCUAAGUAUUAAAAAAUUACUAUUUUUGAAUAAAGUGAUCCGCUGCAUAGCGAGCAAAGGAAUAAGUUACCGUAGGGAUAACAGCGUAAUUUUUUUGGAGAGUUCAUAUUGAUAAAAAAGUUUGCGACCUCGAUGUUGGAUCGAGAUUUCCUAGAGAUGCAGCAGUUUCUAAGGGUUGGUCUGUUCGACCAUUAAAAUCUU
Molecule: ribosomal RNA, 570 nt
Filed under: Stephanasterias albula
Lineage: Eukaryota; Metazoa; Echinodermata; Asteroidea; Forcipulatida; Asteriidae
Description: partial 16S ribosomal RNA
Rfam family: Bacterial large subunit ribosomal RNA
Source: RNAcentral